AGAACGAACGCUGGCGGCAUGCCUAAUACAUGCAAGUCGAACGAACUCUUCGGAGUUAGUGGCGCACGGGUGCGUAACGCGUGGGAAUCUGCCCCUUGGUUCGGAAUAACAGUUGGAAACGACUGCUAAUACCGGAUGAUGACGAAAGUCCAAAGAUUUAUCGCCAAGGGAUGAGCCCGCGUAGGAUUAGCUAGUUGGUGAGGUAAAGGCUCACCAAGGCAACGAU
This 226-nucleotide ribosomal RNA is filed under the name uncultured soil bacterium. RNAcentral's name for it is "partial 16S ribosomal RNA". It matches the Rfam family "Bacterial small subunit ribosomal RNA", at positions 26 to 280 of the family's 1533-position model. The record is from RNAcentral.